ACAAAGUAGAAGUACCGGAAGGUAAUUCUAUA
RNAcentral lists this ribosomal RNA (32 nucleotides) under Gammarus incoercitus. RNAcentral describes it as "partial 12S ribosomal RNA". Lineage: Eukaryota; Metazoa; Arthropoda; Malacostraca; Amphipoda; Gammaridae. The record is from RNAcentral.